Molecule: ribosomal RNA, 529 nt
Filed under: uncultured archaeon
Lineage: Archaea
Description: bacterial SSU rRNA
Rfam family: Archaeal small subunit ribosomal RNA
Source: RNAcentral
UCCCUUUGGGGACACCGGCGGACGGCUUAGUAACACGUUCGGUAACCUACCCUCGGGAGGGGGGAUAACCCCGGGAAACUGGGGCUAAUCCCCCAUAGGCCUGGGGUACUGGAAGGUCCCCAGGCCGAAAGGGGCUCUGCCCGCCCGAGGAUGGGCCGGCGGCCGAUUAGGUAGUUGGUGGGGUAACGGCCCACCAAGCCGAAGAUCGNUACGGGCCAUGAUAGUGGGAGCCCGGAGAUGGACACUGAGACACGGGUCCAGGCCCUACGGGGCGCAGCAGGCGCGAAACCUCCGCAAUGCGGGCAACCGCGACGGGGGGACCCCCAGUGCCGUGGCAACGCCACGGCUUUUCCGGAGUGUAAAAAGCUCCGGGAAUAAGGGCUGGGCAAGGCCGGUGGCAGCCGCCNCGGUAAUACCGGCGGCCCAAGUGGUGGCCGCUAUUAUUGGGCCUAAAGCGUNCGUAGCCGGGCCCNUAAGUCCCUGNCGAAACCCCACGGCUCAACCGUGNGGCUUGCUGGGNAUACUGCGG